GCAACUCGUGCACUUUGCAUGCGCCAUUGCAGCUGCAAAGCACGUCACCAAACAAACCCUUGCCCAAGAGUUUUUGGCUUCACGGUUUGUCACUUCCGUGGUCCGACUUCGGGGGCCUCUGCGGCAAUCAUCGUUUGGGCUGAGAGAUGUUCAAUCACUGCAUAGCGUUUGAAGAAGGCUGAGCAAGGGAACAAAAUUAAAAUGGAAAUGGCAUCAAUCACGUUUGACUUGGCUGUGAUGGAGAGGCUCAAAAUUCAUCACAACACCCUGCUGGGCGUGCAGUCCUUAUUGAACCAAUGUACAGAAAGUAUCUUCAAAAACACGACACGCUUUUGCAAUUCGCGGCCCCUUAAUGGCUUUCGGCUUUUACCCUCGCCGCUGCUGCAAAAGUUAAUUAGCGAGACGCACUGCAGGCCGUUCGAUCUCGAAUUUUUGAGACUGUUGCUCAACGAGCAAACCACCGAUUUUGACUUCCAGUCAGUGCCGGAAGAGCACUGGGACGUUGUUUGGCGACAUAUUAGAGAGAACUGUUCCCAAAUCCAGAGAGUGAAACUGCCGGAGAAUUUUUCCGGUCGGGACGUUUUCAAUGAUGUGCUAAAAAUGAAGCGUCUCACGCACAUUGGCGAAUUUGGAUUUGCACUCAACGCAACAGAUGUCCUGCAGAUUUGCAAAACAUUUCCGCGUUUGAAGUCCAUGCAUCUCGUUGUGGUGAGGCAUUUCUUGGACAAAAACAGCCACUUUCCUUUGAUCCAUUUAGGAAACUUGACUGGUCCUCAGCCUGAAAAUUGAGUUUCAAUACCCCCAUUCAUUCGAGGAAGAAGAGCAGAUAAAAGUGCAAGCAAUCCGAGCAAAAGUUCUAUUUUUCUCCUGUUUACCUCAAUUGCGGAAGUGCACUGUGGACGUUCUCUACCGCGUCUCCGACAACUGGGACGACGCUUUACUUAGCUCACUGUCGCCUGAACGUCCAUACAGAUUAAAUAGGGUAACGCUCGACUAUCACUUAAGUGCGGAAAACUGGCCGAAUGAUGUCGAGGUGGAAGAGUUGCACUUGAUUUCAAGAUUUAAAAUGAACAAAAACGUGCAGAAAAUUUUCAAGCUGAAAAACGUGAGGUCAGUUGUACUGGAAGAAUUCCAUCCGCUGGCAAUUGAGCUAAUUUUAGACCGAUUUGGAAAAGGUUUGACGUCGUUGACGAUUAUUUCUUAUUCUAAAUGGAGUGAUGAUGGGCCCACUCUUGAUAUGGUCAAAAUUUUAUCGACUUGUCCGAAGCUGAAAUAUUUUUGUUAUAAUGGAAAUUAUCGUCUUAUUAUGACGAAUUCAAGACAUAAUUUAUGCAAAUUGCAAUUUUUGGAACUAGAGAGUUUAUCGUUUUUCGGAAGCGAUUGCUACAGUUUAAGUGAUAGGGCUGAUAGUGAUAUAGUGCAAAUUAUCUUACACCAAGCACCGAAUUUAAAAACUUUUUCCUGUAGUAGUUUAGCCAACUCGGAUAUCUCCUACAUGGCACACGAACAGAGAGUUUGCAAAUCACUACAAAAUUUAGAAAUCCUGUGCCCUAGUUUAGAAGAAAGUGAAAUUUUGCUAUUUAUUCAAUAUUUAGAAAAUUUUAUCCUUCAAAUACCAACUUUGUUAGCUAUAAAAAUACUGUUCAUUGGUGAACGUAGCGGCAUUUUUCUUAGGCAGAACGCCGGUUUUGUUGAGUUCUGCAACAUUUUGCCAGCUUUUAAAUGUGAAUUCGAACCUUUUGAUGCAUUUUGAAUUAAAUAUUUUUCUUAGUUGUUUCAUUUUCAGAUCAAUAUAAGAAGAGAUUUUUUAUUUCACCAAAAUUAUAUUUAAGCGAACCACAAAAAAUAUAUAGAAACAAGGAAAUUUUUUCAAAAUUCCAAUACAAAUAAUCAAACCAGACUUUACGUCUGCGGUCAUGGGUUCAAGGUUUUUUGAAAUGCCAUUGUUAUCAGCAAAUUUUCAAUCUUGGUACAUUUAUUUCCUUAUCCUUGAACUAAAAACUAAUAAAUUGAAAUAACUCCAAUUUUAUUAUAUCAACUGAAAUAGCAUAUUCUAUUAAAUAUUGUGCUUAUAAUAAUGACCCAAAUAAUCUGUAUAAUAAAAAAAGAUGUAUAUUGAGGUGAUUAUUGAGGUAAUAUGUAUUCAAUAUAAUUAAUACGUGACAAUUCAAAAGCAACUAAUUAUUAAAAAAGAAAAAUUGAAAACAACAAUAUUGUUAAUUUCUAAAGCUCUAUAAACUAAUCGCUAAAUUAUAAUAAUUCCUCCAUGUUAUAAUUCAGUAACUUUAUCUUCCAAAGAUUCUUCAACCUUUUCGCCUUCGUCCUUUGAUCCAGCUUCCACAUUUGGUAUCGUCAGGACAUCACCUGAAUCACCAUUGACCUUCGGAACGUCACCUUCCUGACCAGUUGUUUUCCCUACUUCAUUUAUGGUAUUCUCUUGUUCACCUUCUUCAGGCUUUUUUUCUUCAGAGACGUUCUUUGUCUCGUCAUGUGCCUCAAUUUCAGGCUCUUCCUGAUCUGGUGGCGGUGGAUCUGCUUCUUUCUCCAGCUUCUUCUCAUCGGCAUUGUCGGGACCAGAAUUCACAUUUUCCAUUGACGACUUCUGUGGCAAGUCCUCUUCUUCCUGCUUUUCUGUAUUUUCUAGCAACUGCCUUGCUUCAGUGGCUUCAUUUGAUUCAUGGUUCAUUUCAGCUUCAUUAUUAUCGUCGUCGUCAGGGAUGCUUAUCAAAUCGUGGCUCGAUGUGUGAUUCCUCUGCGUUAUCAGAGCGACACCAUUAUCUUCCUGCUCUUCUGGAAUUGUCUUCAUCAUUUUCAUAUUCUUGAACUCACAAGCGUUUUCGACAUCAUCUGUAUCAUUGUCACUUACAACUUCCAACGAAUUUCUGGGUUUUCGUGCAAUUUGGUUAAACGUACGACGCGCCCGUUGGUCCGUGAAAAUGCAGAAAAUCAACACCAUAACACCCUUAAAGGAGUUCACUAUGAGGGAAGUGCUGACGAGUGUUUCGUUUCCUUUGCAGACCCAGGCGAUAAACUCUAACAGCCAGAAAAUUCCUAGGCCGAUGAAUAAUUUCGAAUAAAUGGUGAACCUAUAAUAAAUUGUUGGCAUUAAAAAAUUGCUGAAGCAGACAUCGCGCAAUUAAACUACUUGCCUCCGUAUUUCCUUUGCUACUCUUAACGUACGUCUAUCACGAUUCUUUAUAUUGCAAAGUGACAAUACGAAACAGGCCGAAUUUCCAAGCAUCAAAAGAAGAACAGGCCCCAGGUAGUAGAGAAUCGCUCCUAAAGGUAGCAGAAUUAAAAAAAAAAUUGAGAAUUAAUUUAAAUGGUUCACUUACCCUCUCCUGUUCGUGUAAUAACGCAGCUAUUCGCGAUUCCCGUUGAUAGAACACCUUCUUGACCUGUCAGUAUUGCAACUAUUAAAGUCAUCAAAGCAGGGCAUAGCCAGCAAACUACUGAUAAAUAUUUUUGCUUCGUCGUUAUUGGUAUUGCCCUGAAAGUAGGUGAAUUGAGGCUGGAAAUCGAUUUACAAAUAACAAAGUAUUUUUAUUUUUAACUAUUAAAUUUAAUAUGAUUACCCCAGCACCAUGAAGCAUUCCAGACUCUUUGCACUGAGCCAGAAAAACGCAGCAAGACUGAAGUAGUAUGAAAUCAAGCCUGAAACAAAAAUUUAAGGAUUUUCAUAGCUUUAAUUAUUAUCGAUUUAUUCGAUUUUUUCUGUCGAUUUGCCGCUUAGAAAGAAAAUAUAAAUGUGACAUAAAAAAAUAAAACUACAGUUGUAAUAUACUUUUUAGACGUACCAAAAACAGUGCAAAUAAACCCAUUUGGCGAGUCUACUAAUCCGGUCACGAGCAUUGCAGUGUACUGCACCAAUAAAGAAACGCAGAGAAGGAAGAUGCACUGUCCGUGAUAAUUUUUAAUUUUCCUGAUGGUGGCGUAGGUAUACACCAAGGAAAAGAGACAUGUAAAUGAUAAGAAAUAGCCAACUUUUGACACAGGUCCGUUAAUUUUCUCUAGGCUAGAUAAAGUUGCACCUGCAGCAACUGUUUUAAUUUUUUGUGCCUGUGUAGUGGUUUUUUGCUUCGUCGUGGUUUUUGGCUCUUCCGUGAUUGUUUCCCCACCAUAUUCAUAUUCAUGAUUAAUAUCUUCGGUUGUUACUGCUAAUACUUUUGCUGUCUGUGCCUCAAUGGAAAUUUCUGUAGUUGAAAUCGAGGUUCGCGUUUCUACUCCAUCAGUAGCCCCAUCUCUUUCUCUCUCAGAAUUUGAGGUGAUCUCUUUUUGUUUUUCAUCCCCGGAUCCAUUGACUUCUUUGUCUUCUGCAUUAGCAAUAGUCUGUUGAGUUGCGGUCUUAUCUUCGUUGUUUGAAUCAGUUGAAUUUUGUUGCUGCAGCGUUGUAAAAUUUUCAGACUCGUUCACAAAAUCUAAUUAAAUUUAAUCAAAAUUAACAAUUAUAAUGUUCAAUCGUACAAAAAUAAAAAAAUAAAUAUUGAACUUACCGCAGGGGACGUUAUUUGAGCACAGACAUGCAGUGUAAUUUUCACCAUGACGCCAAAAUGUGGUAUUUAUAAACCGUAAUGUAUCAUUGUAGAUCAGAUUUUCACCUGCAAGUCUGACCGCAGAUUGAGAAAAUGUUAUCGGUUCCGCAUCUUCUGGACAAAUCGGAUCAGCCAAUAUGGUUUGAAUUAAAACCAAGAAAAUUAUCCACACAGGGCGUAGCCAUGUGGCAAACGCCAUUUCAA
Molecule: long non-coding RNA, 4736 nt
Organism: Neocloeon triangulifer
Lineage: Eukaryota; Metazoa; Arthropoda; Insecta; Ephemeroptera; Baetidae
Exons: 4
Source: RefSeq, a predicted model, not a curated record